UCGGUUCCGGUUCACGUCUCGCAUCGCCAGGCGACCCGGAGCC
This 43-nucleotide non-coding RNA is filed under the name Nocardia niigatensis NBRC 100131. RNAcentral's name for it is "L31-Actinobacteria ribosomal protein leader". It matches the Rfam family "L31-Actinobacteria ribosomal protein leader". Lineage: Bacteria; Bacillati; Actinomycetota; Actinomycetes; Mycobacteriales; Nocardiaceae. The record is from RNAcentral.